GAAUGUGAGGUUACCAAGGGCCGGUGAGAGUGCUCCUGUGAGUCCUCUGCUGUACAAGACCAGCGCCACCACCCGUGUGGAUUUCGGGUGGCUGCAGGUCACGCCCUCCCAGCCACAGAACUGGACGCUGCUGUUCCAGGACGCAAGCGCUCGAGAGUCGCCACUGCUGACCAGCGCUUUGAAAGCAAGCAGUGUGGCUUCAUCGCCAGCGCCUACUCUGGAGAUUAUUAGGACGGUGGCGAGUAGCGAUAGCAAGCUGAUGACCCCCAUUGCCAUGUGCAUACAGUUUGUUGGUUUGCCUACAGAAUUUUCCUAGUUGGUGAUCGGUCAACAGAAUGGCCGGCUGCAAGAGGAGAGUGACAGCCAUAUACUAUGAUAUAGGUGUAAUUUCAAUGGCUUAAUCUCGCAGGUAUUGCAUGGGUUGAUUCUACGGUGAGGAACCAUGGGCUACUUGAUUGUUUUUUCAGAUUCUCAUCGAAGUGUGUGUACUUGCAUAUUUUCUUCGGAUUCUUCUGCAAUUUGUGACUGGCUUGUAAUCAUUUAAUUAAUACCGAAACUUCCAUGCAUUAUUAAUUGUGACUGGAACAGUUAAACAAUUAACAGUUCAUGUAUUUCAGGACCGAUCC
Brachypodium distachyon (stiff brome) is the source of this 626-nucleotide long non-coding RNA. RefSeq lists it as uncharacterized. NCBI's taxonomy places the organism in Eukaryota, Viridiplantae, Streptophyta, Magnoliopsida, Poales, Poaceae. The transcript has 2 exons. The record is from RefSeq and is a predicted model, not a curated record.